UACGGAGGGGGCUAGCGUUGUUCGGAAUUACUGGGCGUAAAGGGCGCGUAGGCGGCUUAACAAGUCUGGAGUGAAAGCCCCGCUUUCAAGGUGGGAAUUGCUUUGGAAACUGUUGAGCUUGAGUACGGGAGAGGAAAGUGGAACUCCCAGUGUAGCGGUGAAAUGCGUAGAGAUUGGGAGGAACACCAGUGGCGAAGGCGGCCUUCUGGACCAUUCCUGACGCUCAGACG
This 230-nucleotide ribosomal RNA is filed under the name uncultured microorganism. Its description in RNAcentral is "partial 16S ribosomal RNA". It matches the Rfam family "Bacterial small subunit ribosomal RNA", at positions 524 to 753 of the family's 1533-position model. The record is from RNAcentral.